AUUGAACGCUGGCGGCAUGCCUUACACAUGCAAGUCGAACGGUAACAGGUCUUCGGAUGCUGACGAGUGGCGAACGGGUGAGUAAUACAUCGGAACGUGCCUAGUAGUGGGGGAUAACUACUCGAAAGAGUGGCUAAUACCGCAUGAGAUCUACGGAUGAAAGCAGGGGAUCGCAAGACCUUGUGCUACUAGAGCGGCCGAUGGCAGAUUGGGUAGUUGGUGGGAUAAAAGCUUACCAAGCCGACGAUCUGUAGCUGGUCUGAGAGGACGAUCAGCCACACUGGGCCUGAGAAACGGACCAGAGUCCUACGGGAGGCAGCAGUGGGGAAUUCUGGACAAUGGGCGCAAGCCUGAUCCAGCAAUGCCGCGUGCAGGAUGAAGGCCUUCGGGUUGUAAACUGCUUUUGGACGGAACGAAAAGCCCCGGGUUAAUACCCUGGGGUCAUGACGGUACCGUAAGAAUAAGCACCGGCUAACUACGUGCCAGCCGCCGCCGUAA
RNAcentral lists this ribosomal RNA (498 nucleotides) under uncultured bacterium. RNAcentral's name for it is "partial 16S ribosomal RNA". It matches the Rfam family "Bacterial small subunit ribosomal RNA", at positions 30 to 523 of the family's 1533-position model. The record is from RNAcentral.